This 429-nucleotide ribosomal RNA is filed under the name Pseudomonadota bacterium. Its description in RNAcentral is "Proteobacteria bacterium partial 16S ribosomal RNA". It matches the Rfam family "Bacterial small subunit ribosomal RNA", at positions 355 to 776 of the family's 1533-position model. Lineage: Bacteria; Pseudomonadati; Pseudomonadota. The record is from RNAcentral.
UGGGGAAUAUUGGACAAUGGGCGAAAGCCUGAUCCAGCCAUGCCGCGUGUGUGAAGAAGGUCUUCGGAUUGUAAAGCACUUUCAGUUGGGAGGAAGGGCAGUAAGCGAAUACCUUGCUGUUUUGACGUUACCGACAGAAUAAGCACCGGCUAACUCUGUGCCAGCAGCCGCGGUAAUACAGAGGGUGCAAGCGUUAAUCGGAAUUACUGGGCGUAAAGCGCGCGUAGGUGGUUCGUUAAGUUGAAUGUGAAAGCCCCGGGCUCAACCUGGGAACUGCAUCCAAAACUGGCGAGCUAGAGUAGGGCAGAGGGUGGUGGAAUUUCCUGUGUAGCGGUGAAAUGCGUAGAUAUAGGAAGGAACACCAGUGGCGAAGGCGACCACCUGGGCUCAUACUGACACUGAGGUGCGAAAGCGUGGGGAGCAAACAGG